Molecule: ribosomal RNA, 406 nt
Filed under: uncultured bacterium
Lineage: Bacteria
Description: partial 16S ribosomal RNA
Rfam family: Bacterial small subunit ribosomal RNA
Source: RNAcentral
AUUGAACGCUGGCGGCAGGCCUAACACAUGCAAGUCGAACGAGUGGCGGACGGGUGAGUAAUGUCUGGGAAACUGCCUGAUGGAGGGGGAUAACUACUGGAAACGGUAGCUAAUACCGCAUACCAUCAGAUGUGCCCAGAUGGGAUUAGCUUGUUGGUGGGGUAACGGCUCACCUAGGCGACGAUCCCUAGCUGGUCUGAGAGGAUGACCAGCCACACGGGAACUGAGACACGGUCCAGACUCCUACGGGAGGCAGCAGUGGGGAAUAUUGCACAAUGGGCGCAAGCCUGAUGCAGCCAUGCCGCGUGAGUGAAGAAGGCCUUCGGAUCGUAAAGCACUUUUGGUGGAGAGGCGGUAUCUGACGAAGAAGCAACGGCUAACUACGUGCCAGCAGCCGCGGUAAUAC